This 677-nucleotide long non-coding RNA is filed under the name Homo sapiens (human). RNAcentral's name for it is "HSALNT0187594". The record is from RNAcentral. Lineage: Eukaryota; Metazoa; Chordata; Mammalia; Primates; Hominidae.
GCCCUGCCCAGAGAGGAGGAACCUAGAGGGGCAGUCUGGCUACGGUGGCUUUGUGGAGCUGUGGUGGAGCUGUGGUGGGCUCCGCCAAGUUCAAACUUCCUGGCUGCUUUGUUUACACUGUGAGGGGAAAACCACCUACUCAAGCCUCAGUAAUGGUGAAUGUCCCUCUCUCCCCACCAAGCUCGAGUGUCCCAGGUCGACUUCAGAUUGCUGUGCUGGCAACAAGAAUUUCAAGCCAGUGGAUCUUAGCUUGCUGUGCUCUGUGGGGGUAGGAUCUGCUGAGCUAGACCACUUGGUUUUCUGGCUUCAUCCCCCUUUCCAGGGGAGUAAACGGUUGUUUCUCGCUGUCAUUCCAGGUGCCACUGGAGUAUAAAAAAACUCCUGUAGCUAGCUCGGUUUCUGCCCAAAUGGUCUGCCAGUUUUGUACUUGAAACCCAGGGCCCUGGUGGCAUAGGCACCCAAGGGAAUCUCCUGGUCUGCCCACAGCUGGUUGGAUUGUGCCCCGUGCUUGUUGAAGGUGGAUCUUCCUCACUCAGUCCAUUGACUGACAGAUGGAGUCUUGCUUUGUCACCCAGGCUGGAAUGCAGUGGUGCGAUCUCAGCUCACUGCAAGCUCCACCUCCCGGGUUCUCGCCAUUCUUCUGCCUCAGCCUCUUGAGUAGCUGGGACUACAGGCAC